RNAcentral lists this ribosomal RNA (773 nucleotides) under uncultured Neocallimastigales. RNAcentral describes it as "partial large subunit ribosomal RNA". It matches the Rfam family "Eukaryotic large subunit ribosomal RNA", at positions 24 to 632 of the family's 3401-position model. The record is from RNAcentral. Lineage: Eukaryota; Fungi; Neocallimastigomycota; Neocallimastigomycetes; Neocallimastigales.
UAUGUGAUCGUCUCUCGCAUAUCAAUAAGCGGAGGAAAAGAGACUAACAAGGAUUCCCCUAGUAACGGCGAGUGAAGCGGGAAGAGCUCAAAUUUGAAAUCUUAAAGGGUUUCCCUUUACGAAUUGUAGUUUAAAGAAGUGUUUUCUGUUGAGGUUUUGGUAAAAGUUCUUUGGAAUAGGACAUCAUAGAGGGUGAGAAUCCCGUAUUUGACCUUUACUUUCAACUUUGUGAUACACUUUCAAAGAGUCGGAUUGUUUGGGAAUGCAGUCCAAAAUGGGUGGUAAAUUUCAUCUAAAGCUAAAUAUUGGCGAGAGACCGAUAGCGAACAAGUACCGUGAGGGAAAGAUGAAAAGAACUUUGAAAAGAGAGUUAAACAGUACGUGAAAUUGUCAAAAGGGAAGCGUUUGACACCAGUGUUGUUUUUCUGAAAAUCAAUUAAAGAACUGUUUAUGCUAAGUUGUUUAGACUUUAUCAGCUAACUGUUUAGUUUUGAGCUUUUCUUUAAUGCACUUUUCAGUUAACAAGUCAACAUCAAUUUCUUUUGCUGUAAAAAAGCUUGAGGAAGGUGGCUUGAGAUUCGUCUUAAGUGUUUAUAGCCUCUUGCCUAUGCAGUCGGAGAGAUUGAGGUCUGCAGCGUAGAUCCUUCGGGGCUAAAUGCAUUUGUGCUAAGUUAUAACAUUUUAUAGACAACUUGUUGACUAUGAUUUGUCUUGUAGCUUACUCGCUUAUGUUAUUUUACCUACGCUUAGGAUGUUGAAGACUCUACAGAGAU